AUGAACGCUAGCGGCAGGCCUAACACCUGCCAGUCGAGGGAGAAGCCCUUUCGGGGGCAGAAACCGGCGCACGGGUGCGUAACGCGUAUGCAACCUACCUUUCACAGGGGGAUAGCCCGAAGAAAUUUGGAUUAAUACCCCAUAAUAUUAUUGGAUGGCAUCAUUUGAUAAUUAAAACUGCGGUGGUGAAAGAUGGGCAUGCGUCCUAUUAGCUAGUUGGAGUGGUAACGGCACCCCAAGGCUACGAUAGGUAGGGGUCCUGAGAGGGAGAUCCCCCACACUGGUACUGAGACAGGGACCAGACUCCUACGGGAGGCAGCAGUGAGGAAUAUUGGUCAAUGGUCGGAAGACUGAACCAGCCAUGCCGCGUGCAGGAAGAAUGCCUUAUGGGUUGUAAACUGCUUUUAUAUGGGAAGAAUAAGGCGUACGUGUACGUUGAUGACGGUACCAUAUGAAUAAGCAUCGGCUAACUCCGUG
Molecule: ribosomal RNA, 477 nt
Filed under: uncultured bacterium
Lineage: Bacteria
Description: partial 16S ribosomal RNA
Rfam family: Bacterial small subunit ribosomal RNA
Source: RNAcentral